RNAcentral lists this ribosomal RNA (303 nucleotides) under uncultured bacterium. RNAcentral describes it as "partial 16S ribosomal RNA". It matches the Rfam family "Bacterial small subunit ribosomal RNA", at positions 507 to 807 of the family's 1533-position model. The record is from RNAcentral.
AGCAGUAGCCGCGGGAAUACGUAGGGUGCAAGCGUUAAUCGGAAUUACUGGGCGUAAAGCGUGCGCAGGCGGUUUGUUAAGACAGAUGUGAAAUCCCCGGGCUCAACCUGGGAACUGCAUUUGUGACUGGCAAGCUAGAGUGUGGCAGAGGGGGGUGGAAUUCCGCGUGUAGCAGUGAAAUGCGUAGAUAUGCGGAGGAACACCGAUGGCGAAGGCAGCCCCCUGGGCCAACACUGACGCUCAUGCACGAAAGUGUGGGGAGCAAACAGGAUUAGAUACCCGAGUAGUCCCUGUCUCUUAUAC